CUGGGGACACUGGGGGCUGUCAGGAUUUUGGGGCACUGGAGACACUGGGGACAUUGGGACUGUCAGGAUUUUGGAACACUGGGGGCACUGGGGGCUGUCAGGUUUUGGGGGCACUGGGGACUGUCAGGUUUUGGGGGCACUGGGAGCUGUCAGGUUUUGGGGGCACUGGGAGCUGUCAGGUUUUUGGGGUGCUGGGGGCUGUCAGGUUUUAGGGGCACUGGGAGCUGUCAGGUUUUUGGGGCACUGGGACUGUCAGGAUUUUGGGGCGCUGGGGGCUGUCAGGUUUUUGGGGUGCUGGGAGCUGUCAGGUUUUUGGGGUGCUGGGAGCUGUCAGGUUUUUGGGGUGCUGGGAGCUGUCAGGUUUUUGGGAUGCUGGGAGCUGUCAGGUUUUUGGGGUGCUGGGAGCUGUCAGGAUUUUGGGGUGCUGGGAGCUGUCAGGAUUUUGGGGUACUGGGGGGGUUAUUUGGCAUCACUGGGGGUUCAGGGGACUUGGGACAUAAGGGAAGGUACAAAGAGGCAAACUGGGAUUUGCAUAGAAAGGGCACUGGGCAGACUGGGAUUGGCACAAAUGGGGCACUGGACAGACUCAGAGGAGCACGGCACAUACUGGGAGGGGCACUGGGCAUACUGGGACAUACUGGGAGAGGCACUGGGCAUACUGGGAUGCACUGGGAGAGGCACU
Long non-coding RNA from Poecile atricapillus (Black-capped chickadee), 682 nucleotides. RefSeq lists it as uncharacterized. The transcript has 3 exons. The record is from RefSeq and is a predicted model, not a curated record. NCBI's taxonomy places the organism in Eukaryota, Metazoa, Chordata, Aves, Passeriformes, Paridae.